This 714-nucleotide long non-coding RNA is filed under the name Nicotiana benthamiana. RNAcentral's name for it is "long non-coding RNA (NBEN_LNC034907)". The record is from RNAcentral. Lineage: Eukaryota; Viridiplantae; Streptophyta; Magnoliopsida; Solanales; Solanaceae.
AGAAGACAAACAAAGAGCUUUAAGAACUUUGUAAAAAUACAGUAGAAGAACACAAGAAUACAGAGAAAACAUAACAAAAGAACAUAUAAACACAGUGAGAUAAACAUGUGAGAGCAGGGUAUAGACACGCAGUAGAAAAAUGAAAUAUUAGAAAGCAGAGAAUAACGUGUGUGGUAGAAAGGAACAUAUGAGCACAUUAGAGACAAAUACACACAAAAAAAAGGGAAAAGAAAAGUCGGAGAAACAUUUUAAGUAUUUCAAAAAACGCUAAAUCGAAAAAGAGUCGAUUUUGAAAGCAAAGAUAGGGAAAUCGUUUGAAAACUCAAAUAGAGCAUGGAUAUACAACAAAUAUAGAAAGAUCAGAGAAAAACCUCGAGGGGUUUUAGAAGAACCCUAAAAUGAGAAAGGCUUUAAAAGGUCACUGAUUGGAGUAGGAGAAGCUAGAAUCAGGCUCAGAAGACCAAGAUACGCCAGAGCAAGGACGGCGAUGGCCGUGAAACCUCGAGCUGGCAAAGGUUCUGAUGAAGACCUUCCAGGUCUGGCCUCGAAUCUUCAAGUAUCGAGCACACAUGAGUAACAGGAGGUGAGUGUAAGACUACCAUGGCCAGAGGAGCCAUGGUUUCUGGUGGGUUUCGAGGUGGAGACGAUUAAAGGCGGCUAGGGUUGAGGAAGGUUCAAGAGAAUCUGUAAGAGAAGAUGGGUUUCAAGGUGGUG